This 63-nucleotide non-coding RNA is filed under the name Bacteroidota bacterium. Lineage: Bacteria; Pseudomonadati; Bacteroidota. The record is from RNAcentral.
AGUCGAAACGCAUUGAUGCGUCUCCCGGAGAUGGCUUCCCGGGACUGAUGAUGGCAGGCUGGA